This 133-nucleotide ribosomal RNA is filed under the name uncultured bacterium. RNAcentral's name for it is "partial 16S ribosomal RNA". It matches the Rfam family "Bacterial small subunit ribosomal RNA", at positions 356 to 480 of the family's 1533-position model. The record is from RNAcentral.
GAGGAAUUUUGCGCAAUGGGGGAAACCCUGACGCAGCAACGCCGCGUGAGUGAUGAAGGCUUUAGGGUCGUAAAGCUCUGUCAAGUGGGAAGAAACCACUUGGUGUUAAUACCACCAUGUGCUGACGGUACCA